Molecule: ribosomal RNA, 497 nt
Filed under: uncultured bacterium
Lineage: Bacteria
Description: partial 16S ribosomal RNA
Rfam family: Bacterial small subunit ribosomal RNA
Source: RNAcentral
GAUGAACGCUGGCGGCGUGCCUAAUACAUGCAAGUCGAGCGAACAGACGAGGAGCUUGCUCCUCUGACGUUAGCGGCGGACGGGUGAGUAACACGUGGAUAACCUACCUAUAAGACUGGGAUAACUUCGGGAAACCGGAGCUAAUACCGGAUAAUAUAUUGAACCGCAUGGUUCAAUAGUGAAAGACGGUUUUGCUGUCACUUAUAGAUUGAUCCGCGCCGCAUUAGCUAGUUGGUAAGGUAACGGCUUACCAAGGCAACGAUGCGUAGCCGACCUGAGAGGGUGAUCGGCCACACUGGAACUGAGACACGGUCCAGACUCCUACGGGAGGCAGCAGUAGGGAAUCUUCCGCAAUGGGCGCAAGCCUGACGGAGCAACGCCGCGUGAGUGAUGAAGGUCUUCGGAUCGUAAAACUCUGUUAUUAGGGAAGAACAAAUGUGUAAGUAACUAUGCACGUCUUGACGGUACCUAAUCAGAAAGCCCCGGCUAACUACGUG